AGAUUGAACGCUGGCGGCAUGCCUAACACAUGCAAGUCGAACGGGAGUAGCAAUACUCUAGUGGCGGACGGGUGAGGAAUACGUAGGAAUUUGCCCUUAAGUGGGGGAUAACCCGGGGAAACCCGGAUUAAUACCGCAUGACCUCGAAAGAGACAAAGUGGGGGAUCGCAAGACCUCACGCUUUUGGAGAAGCCUACGUCGGAUUAGCUAGUUGGUGAGGUAAUGGCUCACCGAAGGCGACGAUCCGUAACUGGUCUGAGAGGAUGAUCAGUCACACCGGAACUGAGACACGGUCCGACUCCUACGGGAGGCAGCAGUGGGGAAUAUGGACAAUGGGCACAAGCCUGAUCCGAGCAA
RNAcentral lists this ribosomal RNA (357 nucleotides) under uncultured soil bacterium. RNAcentral's name for it is "bacterial SSU rRNA". It matches the Rfam family "Bacterial small subunit ribosomal RNA", at positions 26 to 394 of the family's 1533-position model. The record is from RNAcentral.